CCUACGGGUGGCAGCAGUGAGGAAUAUUGGUCAAUGGUCGUGAGUCUGAACCAGCCAAGUAGCGUGAAGGAUGACUGCCCUAUGGGUUGUAAACUGCUUUUAUAAGGGAAUAAAACGAGUCACGUGUGCCUUUUUGCAUGUACUUUAUGAAUAAGGAUCGGCUAACUCCGUGCCAGCAGCCGCGGUAAUACGGAGGAUCCGAGCGUUAUCCGGAUUUAUUGGGUUUAAAGGGUGCGAAGGCGGGCGUUUAAGCGGGCGGUGAAAUCGCGGGGCUCAACCCCGCCGAUCCGCCGGAACUGGCUGCCUUGAGUGCGGAGGAGGCAUGCGGAAUGCGCGGUGUAGCGGUGAAAUGCAUAGAUAUCGCGCAGAACCCCGAUUGCGAAGGCAGCGUGCCGUGGCGCCACUGACGCUGAGGCACGAAAGCGCGGGGAUCGAACAGGAUUAGAUACCCUGGUAGUC
Molecule: ribosomal RNA, 459 nt
Filed under: uncultured bacterium
Lineage: Bacteria
Description: partial 16S ribosomal RNA
Rfam family: Bacterial small subunit ribosomal RNA
Source: RNAcentral